RNAcentral lists this ribosomal RNA (253 nucleotides) under uncultured bacterium. Its description in RNAcentral is "partial 16S ribosomal RNA". It matches the Rfam family "Bacterial small subunit ribosomal RNA", at positions 524 to 776 of the family's 1533-position model. The record is from RNAcentral.
UACGUAGGGGGCAAGCGUUGUCCGGAUUUAUUGGGCGUAAAGAGCGUGUAGGCGGUUCGGUAGGUCCGUUGUGAAAACUCGAGGCUCAACCUCGAGACGCCGAUGGAAACCAUCGAACUAGAGUCCGGAAGAGGAGAGUGGAAUUCCUGGUGUAGCGGUGAAAUUCGUAGAUAUCAAGCGGAACACCGGUGGCGAAGGCGGCCUUCUGGACAGUGACUGACGCUGAGACGCGAAAGCGUGGGGAGCAAACAGG